AUGUACCCAGAAACCAAACGUUCCCCUCCCUCGUUUCCAAUCUUACCUUAUCUCUUCAAAACAGCCCGUCUCCCACCUCUCUCUGAGUCUGUCUCCCACCUCCACCCAGCGCCAUUUUUUCUGUCUGUAGCUCCAGGCGACCUGCCGUCUUCUGGUUUUGACCUCGCCACCGUCCUUUGCAGCACUAAGCGAGCGCCGCCAGGCUGUGUCGGCACCCCGUUGCAGCAGACACCAUGCUGCAGGCGCCUGAAUUGCAGCCGUGGGAUGGAGGAGCUCCUCGAUCCGUUCAAAGCAGCAACGGCCUACGACUCGGUGUCACGCAACUCGCCCCCGGCCAUGCAGCAACGGGGGCUUGCUGCGACGGGAGUGGUAUGGUGCAUUGUUGUAUUUGGCCUGUAUCUGGUCCAUUAA
Molecule: ribosomal RNA, 411 nt
Filed under: Triticum aestivum (bread wheat)
Lineage: Eukaryota; Viridiplantae; Streptophyta; Magnoliopsida; Poales; Poaceae
Description: partial small subunit ribosomal RNA
Source: RNAcentral